UGCACCCACCUGCCCCCCUGCCUACCUUCACGCAUCCACCUGGACUCCUGCAUACACCCGCCUGCCCCCCUGGAUGCAGUCACCCACCUUCACUCCCCCUGCACACACUCAUCUGCCCCUCUGUAUGCACCCAUCUGCCCUCCUGCCCCUUCCACUCACCCACCUGUCCCCCUGCAUGCAUUCACUUGCCUUCAUUCCCUCUGCAGGCACCCACCUACACCCUUGCACGGACCCACUUGUCCCCUGCUCACACCCACCUGCUCCUCUGCAAAUACCCAUCUGCCACCGCACACACCCACCUGGUCCCCUGCAUGCACCCACCUUCCUCCGACCUUGCUGCACACACCCGCCUGUCCCAAUACACCCAUCCACCUGCCCUCUGCAUGUACCCGCAAGCACCCCUGCAAUCACCACAUGCCCCUGCUCCCUUGCACACACCCACCUGCCCCAUUGCACUCACCCAACAGUCCUCCUGCAGGUACCCAGCUGCCUUCAUUCCCCCUGAAGGCACCCACCUUCCCCCUGCAUGCAACCACCUGCCUCCCCUGGCCUUCUGUAAACACCCCUCCGCAAGCACACAACCGCUCCUGCACAUAUCCACCAGCCUCAAUACACCCACCCACGCGCCCCCUGCAUGCACUCAGGAGCCCCGCUGCAGUCACCCACCUGUCCCCUGCCCCAGUACACGUACUCACUCACUCCCUUGCAUGCACCCACCUGCCCCCCUGUACUCAUCAACCUGCUUCCCGGCAUGCACCCACAAGCCUCCCUUGCCCCACUGCACACACGCACCUGCCCCCCUACAUACACCCACCUGGCCCCCUAUAUGCACCCACCUACCCCCCUGGCCUCUGCACCACUCACCCUCCCCCUGCCUAUCUUCAUGCACCCACCUGCCCACCUGCAGCUACCCUCCUGACCCUCUGCAUGCACCACCUGUCCCCCUGCAUGCACUCACCCACCUUAACUUUCUGUGCACUCACCCACCUGCCCCCCUUGCAUGAUCUCACCUGUCUCCCUGACCCCUGCACCCACAUGCCUGCCCCUUUGCCCCCCUGCAUGCACCCAUGAGCUCCUUGCACGCAGCCACCUGCCCCACUAUACCUACCCACUGUCACUCCUCCCUUCACGCAGCCACCUGCCCCCUGCCCCUGGCAAGCACCCAUGGGCACCCAUGCACACACCUACAUGCACCUCUCCAUGCACCCACAGACCUUCACUCUCCCUGCACAUACCCACUGGCCCCCCUUCACGCACCCUCCUGCCUCCGUACAUGCACCCACUGGCCCCCUGCCCACACUCAGUUGCCCUCCUGCAUGCACCCAUCUGCCCCUCAGCAUGCACUCACCCUCUUUCAACACCCCUGCACACACCCAGGGGCCGCUGUCCCACAUCUUCCUCUGGGACCCCCUUGCCCUGGUUACAGGGUACUGCAGUUGGAGGGAAGAGACGAGGCUGAGCACUCCUGGGGAGACCAGGUGCACCUGCAGAAAAAUUCUGGGGUGCCACUUCCCAGGGAGGAUGGAGGGGAGCCCAGGCCUGCAGCAGGUGCAGCUGAGCCCCUGAUGCCCUGAGAGGCUGCACGACAAGACUGGAGCCAGGGAAGCUCUCAUCCAAGUUGGAACAUGAAGAGGAGAGUUUCCCUUGGGAUCUUUCUGGAUUCAGAUCCUACGUAGCUGGAAGUUUAUCUCAGGGGAAAGCCCAUGAGUGGAACUUUUGACUUAUUGCCCUAUAACAUCCUCCCUGGAGGGAACGUCUGCAUGGGUGGCAAGAUGAUUCUUCCACACGGCUGUGGACGGCUGUGGGCCUCCAGGCGGGGGCUGCUCUGCCCUCGGCAGUGUCCCUGCUCUGCUCUCACCCUGCAUUCUCCCGGUGUCUGUGAAACAAGUAGAGAAAUGGAAGAGAAAGUGAAACUUGGAAGAGGCUGCGUCCCCUUACGUGCUCAGGGCUGUCAGACCUGACAUGCACGCAAUCUACUGUGAGUGUGGACAGAGGAAACACCCACGGACACUCAAAGGCCAUUGGCAUGAGUCAUUACUAACAGUCACAGCGGCUGCAGUUUCAAGGCCUGGAUCAGGUCCUCCCGAGACACACCAACAGACCAGAGGGUCUAAUGGCCCCUCUGCCCAUAAACAUUCACAGCAGCUGGGAAGGUGGUGGUCCCACAUGAUGGACUGUGACAGCGCCUCUGUGACCCUUCUGCUCAGAGUAGCCUGGGCUACAGGGACCCAUUUCCAGCCUGGCCUCCUUGCCCUGCACAGCACCUUCUCUCCAGCAUCUUCCCCGUUUCUGUGUCUCUCAUCCCUUUCCGUCUGCCUUUCCGUCCCCUGUCCCUAACUUCCUGCGGAGUAUUCCUACAAGCCAGCAGUUCAGGACAUUCUGGUUAUUUCCUCCCAGGCUAAAAGACCACCCAGCUCCCCAGGUGCAUCCUGGCUCUUUACUGGCAGUGAGGGCACUGUUGAAAUCUUCAUUAUUUUAAAAUAACAAGUGUUGGUGAGAAUGUGGAGAAGAAGGAGCCCUCCUGAACUCUUGGUGGGAAUGUAAACUGGUGCAGUCACUGUGGAGAACUGUAUGGAGGUUCCUCAAAAAGUUAAAAAUAGAACCACCCAUAGAUCCAGGAAUUCCACUCCUGGGGAUUUACCCAAGGGAAAGGAAAUCACUGUCUGGAAGAGAUCUCUGCACAUCCACGUUCACGGCAGCAUUGUUCACAGUGGCCAAGUCAGGAAAACAGGUUAAGUGUCCAACCAAUGAGUGACGUAUAUACAAAGGAAUAUUGCUCAGCUGUAAAAAAGAAUGGGCAGAUCUGGAGGAUGUUAUGCUGAGUGAAAUAAGCCAGCCACACAAAGAAGAGCCUGUGUGGUCCCACUUACAUGUGGUAUCUGAAGAACAGGCAGAAGCCAAGCACAGAACGGCGUGGGGUGGGGAUGUGUCAGUCACAGGGCACACCGUGGCGGUGACGCAGGAGGAAGCCUGGAGACCUGGUGCCCAGCAUGGUGACCUGCUGACAGCCCCAGACUGAGUGUGUGUGAUCUCAGGUGCUACGGCACACACAGACGGUAACCGAGCAGGGAGAAGGCGGGUCCAGAGCUUGGCUCCAGCCAUCAUGUCACUGGUACGCGUGCCUCACAUCACUGUGCUGAACACCCUAAGUAGAUGCCGUUCUUACUAAAAUGUUUUAAGUUUUAAAAGUAAAAUAAAACAACCAGCCUGUGUGGAGAUUUUAGGGACACUGGUGCAAAGUCCAAACAUCAGGCCCACGAGAA
Molecule: long non-coding RNA, 3263 nt
Organism: Neofelis nebulosa (Clouded leopard)
Lineage: Eukaryota; Metazoa; Chordata; Mammalia; Carnivora; Felidae
Exons: 2
Source: RefSeq, a predicted model, not a curated record